Molecule: long non-coding RNA, 1720 nt
Organism: Salvelinus fontinalis (brook trout)
Lineage: Eukaryota; Metazoa; Chordata; Actinopteri; Salmoniformes; Salmonidae
Exons: 5
Source: RefSeq, a predicted model, not a curated record
GCUGUCCCUCCCCCACUGCAGUGUGCACAAAAGUACCAAACCACCAAAACUUUCACAGGUCAACACAGUUCCCCCUCCCCCAUGCUGCAGUGACAAAUCUCUCCCCAGGGUUGCCAUGUACAUUGUGUUGUCUUUUAUUGAGGUACUUUUAAAACUUUGCUGCGGGUAAAAAGUGUUGGUUGCUGCGUGCAAGUAUUUAUACUACUUCUAUAUUGCACCGUUAUCAACAUGAUAUUUUUUAAAACCCAUUAAUUUCCCUGUAAUCUGCUGAGAUUGUAACAGUUUUCAGGCUUUGAAGGCGGGUUUUUACUGGAAUUACUAGAAAUGUGAAAUUGAUCUGGCAAGCCUGUCUCUGCCUGAGCAUGAUCACAACAAAAGUAGCUGUGUGCAGCAAGUUUUUUAAGGAAGAGGAGGAUGGUUGCAGACGUUCUCAUUCAUGCAAGAAGGCACUGCAGAGGCUAAGAAGAUGCAUGGAAACUCUAAAAGAAACAUAAUUCAACAUGUAGGCCAGAUUUGAAAAGGAAAUAAUAAAUCCCGAAGCUCAGUGUAAUGGCUCUCGUCGGUGGAAGGAGAGGAGGACCAAAGCGCAGCGUGAUGUCAGACACCGAGGCUGCCUGCACCGCCGUUGAUCAGAACAGACAGCGUAUACUUGACCAAAGCUAUGCUUGGAUACAGGACUGAUGACUCAAUAACCAGUAUUGACAACAGUGAAGAUGGUUAUGUCCCAGGGCCAUCAGGAUCAUCAGAGGAAGGCAAUUUCUAUGAAGAAAAUCUGACCGGUGUGCCUAUACCUUACAUACACAUGGACCUAUUCUUAAUUGCAAUGUCCUUAUCGACAUGUUUUCCACUGAUGUUUUCCAGGAGAGAUGUCAGCGAUUCGGGCCAAUGACCAAGGGAAAGCUGGGACAAAAAAGAGGCUCACACGGUGCCAAAGGAACAAAAAGGUAUUGGUCGACAAUAGAGGUGGAUGCAGUUGAAGAUUCCUUGAUGGAUUUCAUCCGACUGAGAUAAACGCCUGGAAAACAAGACUGUGAGAAAUGCAUUGCUGCUUCUCCCCAAGCACUAGUAAACAGGGACUGGAGAGCAGUAAAGUUCUAUGUACACAACAGAAUAGUUGCAGAUCAGAGAAAAUAAGUGUAUGAGAUGCUUCUGGUUAUCUUGGUGUACUUCUGAGGAUUUAAUGGGACUCACUUGACUUAAGCUCAUAGGCAGAUGACAAAUGUCCUCUAUCUUACUAUACGGGGGAGUUUUUCCGGGUGGGUGGUUCACUUUUGUAGUGACUAAGGUCUCAAGAAUACAAAGUCUGCUGACUUUGAAUGUUAAAAGGGGGAAAAAAUACAAUUCUAAACUAUUAAUCUGUUACUUGGAUAUAUUGAAUCCAUUACUGAAAUGGUUGUUCCAGUUUAAAUACUUUACAGAAGAACUACACUACAGCUGUUGAAUUGCCAUCCGUGUUGCACCAUUGUGGUAUUCUACAUGAAUAUUUUCAGCCCAAAAAUAGAAUGAAUGCGUCAAAUAUCGAGAAUUUAAAUUUGUUAAUUAUUUUACGGUUCCAUUAGGUACAACGUAGGCAGUUGGAUAGCUUUUAUAGAUUUCAUAGGAGGCAUUCUCUCAAUGGCUGAUGGCAAUGCAUUGCAAUGCAUUGUGUGGCUGCUGCCAAGAUACAUACUCAAUCUCUAGCCACUAAUAGUUAAUAAUACGAUGUAAUAAAUGUAUCACU